CUACGGGCUGCUCCAGUUUCGAAUAAUUCACAAUGGGCGCAAGCCUGAUGAUGCGACGUUACGUGAAGGAAGAAAGCUUUAAGUUGUAAACUUCUGUCGUUAAGGAACAAAAAAUUAAGUAGUACUUUUUAUAUUGAGUUAACUUAAAAAGGAAGCAGUGGCUAAUUUCGUGCCAGCAGCCGCGGUAAUACGGGAACUGCAAGCGUUGCUCGGUUUUAUUGGGCGUAAAGAGUACGUAGGCUGUUAUAUAUGCUAAUUGUUAAAUUUUAAAGUUAAUCUUUAAAUUUGCUGUUAAAACUAUAUAACUAGAAUUUCAAAGAGGUAAGUGGAAUUUCAAGUGUAGCGGUGAAAUGCGUAGAUAAUUGAAGGAACACCAAUGGCGAUAGCGACUUCCUGGGCGAUAGUUUACGCUAAAGUACGAAAGUAUAGGGGGCAAAAAGGAUUAGAUACCCUAGUAGUC
Molecule: ribosomal RNA, 460 nt
Filed under: uncultured bacterium
Lineage: Bacteria
Description: partial 16S ribosomal RNA
Rfam family: Bacterial small subunit ribosomal RNA
Source: RNAcentral